Molecule: long non-coding RNA, 375 nt
Organism: Gossypium arboreum
Lineage: Eukaryota; Viridiplantae; Streptophyta; Magnoliopsida; Malvales; Malvaceae
Exons: 2
Source: RefSeq, a predicted model, not a curated record
UACAUUGCUAAGAAAUGCGCAAGUCUAAAGGUUUAUAUAUGAUAUUCUUUUAAGCUAGGUCAAUUGAGUCUCCAUGACUAGCUCAUAUAGAGCGAGCUACUUACUCAAAGAUAGCUUGGUCAGAUGAUGCUCUGCUCUUGAAGGUGUACAUACUUCUUAUCCUUGAGGCCUCCUGAUAUGGAAAUUCUUAAUGGGCUUAAGUUUAACCCUAACAUGCAGAACUAUGACUGUUCUUCUAAUCAGUUCAAGUGGUGCAGGCAAAAGCCCAAUAGAAGACGUGGUACUGCCUGCACGGGUUAGAAAGCAAACGAUUACAAUGAAAUAGUGUCCCAAACAUGCUUUGAAUGGUUAGAAUAAAUAGCAACAGAAAAUUAA